This 29-nucleotide non-coding RNA is filed under the name Mus musculus (house mouse). The record is from RNAcentral. Lineage: Eukaryota; Metazoa; Chordata; Mammalia; Rodentia; Muridae.
GUUGCAAAUUACUUUAAGAGAAUAUUAGU